GCUCCACCCGGUGCACGACUUGCCCAUAAUAUCGACCAUUUCCCGGUCCUGUCAAUCCUGCAGAGCUGGUCGGGUUGCAGUAGCGUUAGAUUCCAGGACAAUCAAGUAACAAAGCUCACCUCGCGUGCGGCAUGGCCUGUGAACAAAGGGCGUCAACCAAUCCCCCUACCCGAUCACGAUGGAGUGCUAAUCAGCAGCAGCUGCAAAACCUAGAGAGUAUCUUCGAGCAGGGAAAUGGAAACACUCCCAACAAAGCUAGGAUUAAAGACAUAACCAUAGAACUUAACCAGUUUGGUCACAUCUCAGAAACAAAUGUGUACAACUGGUUUCAGAACCGUAAAGCACGAGCUAAGCGAAAGCUGCAGCAGCGGGUUGGCAGAACUCGCAGGCUGAGCUGCACCGCAACUGGAAGUACUUGUAAGAUGAGGAGCGGGGAAGCGGAGAUCAGUGGGGAUGUGCAGCCGUAUCUGCCGGACGCCAAAAGGUUGAAGGCGGUCGGGCCUCAGAGCCAGUCGGCGACCGGGUCAGCAGCCACGCCUGCGUCGGCGCUGGACGCAGGGAGCUCCAUCGCUGCGGCGGAGAUUGACACUGAGCUGCGGUCGCGGCCGGCAUUGAUGCCGCUGACGUCGAUUACGCCGCUGACGAUGCCGCUGACGGUGACGCGCGUCGAAGCGAUAGAAGAGACGCUAGGCGGCGGGGCAGAGCAUUGGCAUGAUCAAGAGGUUGAAGAUUAUAGUAUUUGGCAAGGAUUUCUGAACAACCAAUAUGUAUUAUUAUAAAAGAAAGAUUCAGCCCAGCCUACUCAUUUCUAAACUUUUUUGCAAAGACAAUGUAACAUUAAUUCAUCAAUCAUUUCAUUAAUUACAUCAAGCACAUCCAAGGCAAUCCGCACGUACACAUAAUGAAUAGUUCAUGAAAGUAGUCUAUUAAAGACAUACUGGAAGCAAAAGAAAUUAUUUGAUAAGAACUUUUAUGGGACAAAAAAUAUUUUUUUAAAAGAUUAGAAAAUUUGGUGAUGAUAUUUUUAAGAAUCAAAUUUUAUGUCUAUCUAUAAUCACUUGAAAAUUGUUUAUAGUUCUAUUGAAAUGUAAGUAGUUAAUAUAGCACAAUACAAUCAGCAUUCAAAUUUAUUUAACCUUGCACUUUCACAAGAUUUUCAGUUACAUAUGCAUUUAUUUAAUUGAAUUUAAAUAUUAAAGCUAGUUUAGUCAUAGCAAACCUGAUUUGCUGUACGUUUUCUUGCGCUUAAUGCAUAAAUAAUAAUUAUAUAUAUAUAUAUAUA
This is a non-coding RNA of Physcomitrium patens, 1282 nucleotides long. Lineage: Eukaryota; Viridiplantae; Streptophyta; Bryopsida; Funariales; Funariaceae. The record is from RefSeq and is a predicted model, not a curated record.